AGAACUCUGGAGAAUCCCGACAGGGUGCCGAAGGUGCAAAGUGGUUUCACUAAUCUCUCAGGCAAAAGGACAGAGAAUGAA
Molecule: non-coding RNA, 81 nt
Filed under: bovine gut metagenome
Description: Glycine riboswitch
Rfam family: Glycine riboswitch aptamer (bases 5-75)
About the family: This family represents the bacterial glycine riboswitch. Glycine riboswitches usually consist of two metabolite-binding aptamers domains with similar structures in tandem. The aptamers cooperatively bind glycine to regulate the expression of downstream genes.
Source: RNAcentral